GAGCUACACGCCACGCCACACCACCUUGGUACAGUAAUUCAUGUUAAAGGAGUCCCAAAUAAGUUGUACUGAAUGUAUAAAUAAAAAUACUUUGUGAAAGUUCGACAUUUUGUUAACUUUUGAUUGAUCUUUAGAAACAUUUCCACUAUUUGAGAUUACUGGAUUUAUGGUUUUCACUAUAUUCAAGCCCAAAAUCAUCAAAAUUAAAACAAAAUUGAAACUGUCACUAAUAUAACAAUUAUGCUUUGCUAUUUGUGAAUAACAUUCCUAUCAUCCAGCGGUUAACGAGACAUGAAUAGAUAUACACAGUCACAAAUACUGCAGGUCAGCCUUUAACGUUUUGCUUCACACUAUGUACAUCUAUUCUUUAUGUAUGUUUGAUUAAAGACACCUUGUAACCUUAAGAUGCAGUUUUACAUAAACUGCUCGUCUAUUUUGUGGCUUUGCAGUCAGCAGUGGUUUACCGUGACUGCAGUCAAUUUGACGUCUUUGUUUAAUUUCUUGAUUCAAUCUGCUUCUUGAAUGUGGCGUAGUGCUUUAUAGUGACUCCAGAUGAGUAAAAUGUCUCAUGCAUAAUUUAUGCAUUUUCCACAUUAUCCUGUUUGUGUGACAAAUGAUAUUCUGACUAAAAACAGCGAUAAAAAUAAAACAAACAAGCUGAGGAGUCAAAUUUAAAGAUGCACAGCGUGGUGUUCACAUUGUCUAUCAUCCAACCCCAGGACAUUUUCUGUCACAUCAAAAAGCUUGCUGCAAGCGCAGAUUUAGACAUAUGUCUCAUCACUUUCUUCUUUUUUUUUUUUAGUGAAAUGAGCGUUGAUGAAAGGCGGCCAUUUUGUUAUUUACAUUGGAAUGUGCUCUCCCUUCUAAAUUCAGCCAUGGCUUGAAGCAGUGUUAGUAUUUGUUGCCCCCCUCCACAAUGCCCCGUUUUAUUUCCUCCCUCCCACCCUUUGUCUUUCCUCCCUCUCCUUGUCAUCUUUGCACAAAGGGGCUGUGUGUCAUUUCUGUUUGAUGUGCAGAGAAUGAAUAAAGCAAUCUGUAACAUCUAUGUGAGGGUCCCCCUAAUGUGCAUACGGCGAUGGAGAAUAAAAUAUGGGCAUCUAUAUGAAUUACGCUCCUAACAAAUACAAGCCAUGCAUACAGAAAUAUAUAAUGUAACAUAUGAACCACACAUGCACGAACGAAUGGGACACGCUCACACACAUACCAAACGCACACACAUAUACACACAUCCAUGGUAAAAAGUGCUGACUGGCUCUCCUGCCUCCUCAGUGUGCCGGGAGCUUUCAGCAGAAAUUCCCAAGCUGUGAGGUCGUAAAAGAUUUUAGUCAGAAGUGUAUUUAUUUAUGUCUUAAUUAAAAAAAGUUAAAAUUGAACAAUGUAAUAAAUGAACCAAUCUUUCUGUGAGCUGUAAGUAAUGCUAAGCUCUCCAUACGCUCUUAAAAUGCACCAAUAUUCAAAUUAGACAAUAUGUACAAGGAGUGUAAAACAUGAUAAAUACAUGUAAUUUUGUCGUUCCAUAUUAAUCUUUCUUAAACUCAUGGCUUUGUUCAGUGCUUGAUUCUGAUUGGUCAUUGGAAAUACUAUUGGCCGGCUAUUUCUAAAUGGCAGAUUGAUCUUAGAAUGAAUGGACUGUUGUCAUGGAUACCACUACAGACUCAGGAGGAAUAAUUAUAGGGGGACCAAGAAUUCGAGCGAGACGUACCAAUCAGCACAGGGCUGAGUUAGCGAGACAAAAAUCCAAGUCAGACUCUGAGUAAUAAGUGGUCAAAUGUCCAGCUUCACAAAGAGUUUCUGCUCAGCAGUGUUGUGGUUAUUUGUCAAAUCUCAUGUACAAGGAGAGUUUCCAGUCUCUAGUGUUCAAGUACAAGUCAAAAUCAGAAAAGAGAAACAGACAUUGAGUUCCCAGUAAUGGACUCAGGGUCAAGCUAUGUUCUCAUUACCUGUGUCCAAACACGAGCUCAGUCCUUAUUACAUGUUUCAGGGUCCAAAUCAAGUCCUCUUAACAUGUAUCUAAGUCUAAGCCAAGUCCUUAUUACGUGUGUCUGAGUCCAAGUCUUCAUUAUGUGUGUUUGAAUUGAAUAAAGGACUCACUACAUGCUGUUGAGUUUAAGUCAAUUGUCUGUAAUUGUCCAAGUCAAGUUCUGUUCAUGUGUCCAAGUUCAAGUGAAGUCCUUAUUACAUGAUGUUUAAGUUCAAUAAAGUCCUCACUACAUGGUUCUGUGUUUGAAUAGAUUCUUUGUUCCAUGUGUUCGAGUCUAAGUCGAGUCCUCAUUAUUACAAGUCUGUCAUUGUGAACAGGGUGUAAUCCAUCAUCUGAUUGCCAGUGCAGUCAAUUCAGAUUACAAAUCCAAGAUAUAAAGCCCUAAUCCAACAUAAAUUACCAAUCCUGAAAAUCAGGAAUAGAGUCAGACACGAGUCCUAGAUUGAAGUAAUAAAGACACUGCUACUCGCUUUGAAAAGGUAUUAACUUAAUCUAAUAGCCCACUAACUGUACUUUUCUCCUGAAUCUGGAUGUACAUGGACAAAGAAAAGGUACUCUUCAAUUUAAGGGUCAAUGAAACUCCAAACAAAAUGCAGAGUCAUUGGUGAAGUGGUCAAUGCUUAUCAUUUUAAAUGUGAGCUUUGCUGGUUGUCUGUCUAGUAUAUUCACCUUGGGGUAGUGUGAUUACAGCCUAAAGCUAAUGUAAAAAACAUAGAAUCAGAUACUCUUUGCAAAAGUGAUGAAAAAUCAUUGUUAAUCCUUUUGGUUCUAAAAAUAUUUUCCCUUUGACAAAAAUGAACACUUCAGUAAAACCAGAAUUUAUCCCAACUCUCAAGCCGUCAACUAUUUGUCAGUUUUAGGAGUUCAUGAUCUUUGUCUGCUCGGCUUUCACUCCAUUUCUGCUCUCCAUGAAAGUAUGUGGGUGACAUUCCUCACUGUUGAAUUUUGUUUACUUAAAAUUCAGAGAAAUUUAGGGUCACAAAGCAAAAGGCAAUUACAGCAUCUCUCUUCUUAUGUGCGCUCUCAGAGAGUGAGAGAGAGAGAGCUGACUGGGUUGAUAAAUCUUUGAACUGAGUACCACAACAAAGCUCUGCCCAAAAUGCUCCUUUUAAUUCAAAAUGCCUAAAUGCUCUGACAAAUUCCUGAAAAAGGCUUUUGCAUUUUGGCCCCCUCUGCUGUUCACUAGAAUCUGUUUGCAUGUGCAGAAAUUAAGGUUUGAGUUCUGGCAUAUUUGCACGUUUCAUUCCUUUGUCAUGAUAAUAACAAAAAUGAUGAUGAGAAGUGCGAUAACUAUCAGCUGAUUGCUGUGAAUAUUUAAGGUUAGAAACUGAUUUUUCUCUUUGGCUGUAGAGGGAGACUUGAGAUUGAGUGUGGUUGCAUUUUUCUCCUCCUAUUGAAGAU
Xyrichtys novacula (pearly razorfish) is the source of this 3382-nucleotide non-coding RNA. NCBI's taxonomy places the organism in Eukaryota, Metazoa, Chordata, Actinopteri, Labriformes, Labridae. The record is from the annotation of a GenBank genome assembly.